This 348-nucleotide unclassified non-coding RNA is filed under the name Ramicandelaber sp. RNAcentral describes it as "partial internal transcribed spacer region". The stretch from base 1 to 46 matches the Rfam family "Eukaryotic small subunit ribosomal RNA", at positions 1786 to 1831 of the family's 1831-position model. Lineage: Eukaryota; Fungi; Kickxellomycota; Ramicandelaberales; Ramicandelaberaceae. The record is from RNAcentral.
AAGUCGUAACAAGGUAUCCGUAGGUGAACCUGCGGAUGGAUCAUUACCAAUUUUAUAUAUUAGUGUGUAUAUCUGUGACUCUGUUGCAGGUACUACACUACUACUAUUAUGUAAAUGUUGAACUAGAUCAAUCAGUGUGGAUUGCUUGGGAAAGGCGAUGUAACUAUAUUAUAUCUCCGGACAGGCAAGCCCCACACUGGUAACCCUUUUCAAUUAUACAAUUCGUACAUACUACAAAUACAAACAAAUUCUAUUAAUAGGACUUAUUAAUGGGCUGAGUGGGUAAAAUCCUCGGCUCUAUAAAUUUAUAACAAAAUACAACUUUCAGCAAUGGAUCUCUAGGCUCUC